Molecule: ribosomal RNA, 254 nt
Filed under: uncultured prokaryote
Description: partial 16S ribosomal RNA
Rfam family: Bacterial small subunit ribosomal RNA
Source: RNAcentral
UACGGAGGAUGCAAGCGUUAUCCGGAUUUAUUGGGUUUAAAGGGUGCGUAGGCGAAUAUGUAAGUCAGCGGUGAAACUCACAGGCUCAACCUGUGCCGUGCCGUUGAAACUGUGUAUCUGGAAUGCGGAUGCUGUGGGAGGAAUGUGUAGUGUAGCGGUGAAAUGAAUAGAUAUUACACAGAACACCGAUUGCGAAGGCAUCUCACAAAGCCGUUAUUGACGCUGAGGCACGAAAGUGUGGGGAUCAAACAGGA